GGUGAACGCUGGCGGCGUGCCUAAUACAUGCAAGUCGAGCGAACGGACGAGAAGCUUGCUUCUCUGAUGUUAGCGGCGGACGGGUGAGUAACACGUGGAUAACCUACCUAUAAGACUGGGAUAACUUCGGGAAACCGGAGCUAAUACCGGAUGAUAUUUUGAACCGCAUGGUUCAAAAGUGAAAGACGGUCUUGCUGUCACUUAUAGAUGGAUCCGUGCUGCAUUAGCUAGUUGGUAAGGUAACGGCUUACCAAGGCAACGAUGCAUAGCCGACCUGAGAGGGUGAUCGGCCACACUGGAACUGAGACACGGUCCAGACUCCUACGGGAGGCAGCAGUAGGGAAUCUUCCGCAAUGGGCGAAAGCCUGACGGAGCAACGCCGCGUGAGUGAUGAAGGUCUUCGGAUCGUAAAACUCUGUUAUUAGGGAAGAACAUAUGUGUAAAUAACUGUGCACAUCUUGACGGUACCUAAUCAGAAAGCCACGGCUAACUACGUG
Molecule: ribosomal RNA, 497 nt
Filed under: uncultured bacterium
Lineage: Bacteria
Description: partial 16S ribosomal RNA
Rfam family: Bacterial small subunit ribosomal RNA
Source: RNAcentral